GGUAAAGUGGCUGAAAAUUAGGCAAUAAACUGUAAAUUUAUUUAUGAAAAGUUAUUUUCUUUUAUC
This 66-nucleotide transfer RNA is filed under the name Lioporeus pilatei. RNAcentral describes it as "tRNA-Tyr". The record is from RNAcentral. Lineage: Eukaryota; Metazoa; Arthropoda; Insecta; Coleoptera; Dytiscidae.